This 63-nucleotide transfer RNA is filed under the name Cylindratus longicephalus. RNAcentral's name for it is "tRNA-Arg". The record is from RNAcentral. Lineage: Eukaryota; Metazoa; Arthropoda; Insecta; Hemiptera; Caliscelidae.
AAGUAAAGAAGUAAAAUACACUUAAUUUCGACUUAAGAUUAGAAAAUUAAUUUUCCGUACUUA